RNAcentral lists this ribosomal RNA (543 nucleotides) under uncultured archaeon. RNAcentral's name for it is "bacterial SSU rRNA". It matches the Rfam family "Archaeal small subunit ribosomal RNA", at positions 459 to 997 of the family's 1478-position model. The record is from RNAcentral.
CAGCAGCCGCGGUAACACCGGCGGCCCGAGUGGUGAUCGUGAUUAUUGGGUCUAAAGGGUCCGUAGCCGGUUUGGUCAGUCCUCCGGGAAAUCUGAUAGCUCAACUAUUAGGCUUUCGGGGGAUACUGCCAGACUUGGAACCGGGAGAGGUAAGAGGUACUACAGGGGUAGGAGUGAAAUCCUGUAAUCCCUGUGGGACCACCUGUGGCGAAGGCGUCUUACCAGAACGGGUUCGACGGUGAGGGACGAAAGCUGGGGGGCACGAACCGGAUUAGAUACCCGGGUAGUCCCAGCCGUAAACGAUGCUCGCUAGGUGUCAGGCAUGGCGCGACCGUGUCUGGUGCCGCAGGGAAGCCGUGAAGCGAGCCACCUGGGAAGUACGGCCGCAAGGCUGAAACUUAAAGGAAUUGGCGGGGGAGCACAACAACGGGUGGAGCCUGCGGUUUAAUUGGACUCAACGCCGGACAACUCACCGGGGGCGACAGCAAUAUGUAGGCCAAGCUGAAGACUUUGCCUGAAUCGCUGAGGAGGAGUGGUGCAUGG